CCUACGGGUGGCUGCAGUGGGGAAUUUUGGACAAUGGGCGCAAGCCUGAUCCAGCAAUGCCGCGUGAGUGAAGAAGGCCUUCGGGUUGUAAAGCUCUUUCAGUUGAGAAGAAAAGAUUGUAACUAAUAAUUGCGAUCCAUGACGGUAUCAACAGAAGAAGCACCGGCUAACUACGUGCCAGCAGCCGCGGUAAUACGUAGGGUGCGAGCGUUAAUCGGAAUUACUGGGCGUAAAGGGUGCGCAGGCGGUUAUGUAAGUCAGAUGUGAAAUCCCCGGGCUUAACCUGGGAAUUGCGUUUGAAACUACAUGACUAGAGUGUAACAGAGGGAAGUGGAAUUCCAUGUGUAGCAGUGAAAUGCGUAGAGAUAUGGAGGAACAUCGAUGGCGAAGGCAGCUUCCUGGGUUAACACUGACGCUCAUGCACGAAAGCGUGGGGAGCAAACAGGAUUAGAUACCCCAGUAGUC
This 465-nucleotide ribosomal RNA is filed under the name uncultured Nitrosomonas sp. Its description in RNAcentral is "bacterial SSU rRNA". It matches the Rfam family "Bacterial small subunit ribosomal RNA", at positions 338 to 795 of the family's 1533-position model. Lineage: Bacteria; Pseudomonadati; Pseudomonadota; Betaproteobacteria; Nitrosomonadales; Nitrosomonadaceae. The record is from RNAcentral.